RNAcentral lists this ribosomal RNA (503 nucleotides) under uncultured bacterium. RNAcentral describes it as "bacterial SSU rRNA". It matches the Rfam family "Bacterial small subunit ribosomal RNA", at positions 23 to 518 of the family's 1533-position model. The record is from RNAcentral.
CUCAGGAUGAACGCUAAGCGGCAGGCUUAACACAUGCAAGUCGAGGGCAGCAUAGAAGUAGUUACACUUUGAUGGCGACCGGCGCACGGGUGCGUAACGCGUAUGCAACCUACCGUUAAACAGGGGGAUAAUUCGGAGAAAUCUGGUCUAAUACCCCAUAAUAUCGGGACAGGCAUCUGUUUCGGUUGAAAACUCCGGUGGUUUAAGAUGGGCAUGCGUUGUAUUAGAUUGUUGGUGAGGUAACGGCUCACCAAGUCUACGAUACAUAGGGGGACUGAGAGGUUUACCCCCCACACUGGUACUGAGACACGGACCAGACUCCUACGGGAGGCAGCAGUGAGGAAUAUUGGUCAAUGGGCGCAAGCCUGAACCAGCCAUGCCGCGUGCAGGAAGACGGCUCUAUGAGUUGUAAACUGCUUUUAUACGAGAUUAAACGCAGGUACGUGUACCUGUUUGAACGUAUCGUAUGAAUAAGGACCGGCUAACUCCGUGCCAGCCGCAGC